CAGUAGCCACGGGAACACGUAGGGUGCGAGCGUUAAUCGGAAUUACUGGGCGUAAAGCGUGCGCAGGCGGUUGAGUAAGACAGGUGUGAAAUCCCCGGGCUUAACCUGGGAACUGCGCUUGUGACUGCACAGCUAGAGUAUGGCAGAGGGGGGUGGAAUUCCACGUGUAGCAGUGAAAUGCGUAGAGAUGUGGAGGAACACCGAUGGCGAAGGCAGCCCCCUGGGCCAAUACUGACGCUCAUGCACGAAAGCGUGGGGAGCAAACAGGAUUAGAUAACCCCUGUAGUCCCUGUCUCUUAUA
This 301-nucleotide ribosomal RNA is filed under the name uncultured bacterium. RNAcentral describes it as "partial 16S ribosomal RNA". It matches the Rfam family "Bacterial small subunit ribosomal RNA", at positions 509 to 808 of the family's 1533-position model. The record is from RNAcentral.